This 504-nucleotide ribosomal RNA is filed under the name Epuraea ocularis. Its description in RNAcentral is "partial large subunit ribosomal RNA". It matches the Rfam family "Bacterial large subunit ribosomal RNA", at positions 1844 to 2602 of the family's 2925-position model. The record is from RNAcentral. Lineage: Eukaryota; Metazoa; Arthropoda; Insecta; Coleoptera; Nitidulidae.
UAUUUAAAGUCUAACCUGCCCUAUGAAUUAAUUUUUAAAUGGCCGCGGUAUUUUGACCGUGCAAAGGUAGCAUAAUCAUUAGUUUUUUAAUUGGAAACUGGAAUGAAUGGUUGAAUGAGGAAAUAUCUGUCUCUUAGAAAUUUUAUUAGAAUUUUAUUUUUAAGUAAAAAAGCUUAAAUAAAGUUUAAAGACGAGAAGACCCUUUAGAAUUUUACAUAAAUUUUUUAUUUAAAGUUUUUGGUAUUUAAAUUUUUUAAUUUAAAAUUAUGUUUAGUUGGGGUGACUAAAAAAUUUAAUAAACUUUUUUUAUUUAAAAUCAUUAAUUUAUGAGUUUUUGAUCCAUUUUUUAUGAUUAUAAGAAUAAAUUACCUAAGGGAUAACAGCGUUAUAUUUUUUGAGAGUUCUUAUCGAAAAAAAAGAUUGCGACCUCGAUGUUGGAUUAAAAUUAAAUUAAGGUGCAGCUGCUUUAACUUUAGGUCUGUUCGACCUUUAAAAUUUUACAUG